Molecule: non-coding RNA, 30 nt
Filed under: Rattus norvegicus (Norway rat)
Lineage: Eukaryota; Metazoa; Chordata; Mammalia; Rodentia; Muridae
Source: RNAcentral
UGUCAAAAGAAAAAGCCCCGUUGCCUGUGU